RNAcentral lists this unclassified non-coding RNA (217 nucleotides) under plant metagenome. RNAcentral's name for it is "partial contains small subunit ribosomal RNA and internal transcribed spacer 1". The record is from RNAcentral.
AAGUCGUAACAAGGUUUUCGUAGGUAAACCUACAGAAAGAUUAUUACCUUUCUAGCUAUUUAAUAGCUUGUCUAGAGGCUGCAGUUUCUGCAGUCUCUAACUACAUUUGUAUUUUUUGCGUACUAUAUGUUUCCUUAGCAGGCUUGCUUGCUAGUUAGAUAAACUAAAAACUCUUUGCAAAUUGCAAUUAGCGUCUAAAAUUAUAUAAUAAUUACAA